RNAcentral lists this ribosomal RNA (254 nucleotides) under uncultured bacterium. Its description in RNAcentral is "partial 16S ribosomal RNA". It matches the Rfam family "Bacterial small subunit ribosomal RNA", at positions 524 to 776 of the family's 1533-position model. The record is from RNAcentral.
UACGUAGGGGGCAAGCGUUGUCCGGAUUUAUUGGGCGUAAAGAGCGUGUAGGCGGCCAUACAGGUCAGCUGUGAAAACUCGAGGCUCAACCUCGAGACGUCGGUUGAAACCGUAUGGCUAGAGUCCGGAAGAGGAGAGUGGAAUUCCCGGUGUAGCGGUGAAAUGCGCAGAUAUCGGGAAGAACACCCGUGGCGAAGGCGGCUCUCUGGGACGGUACUGACGCGUGAGACGCGAAAGCGUGGGGAGCGAACAGG